RNAcentral lists this small nuclear RNA (281 nucleotides) under Microtus ochrogaster (prairie vole). RNAcentral's name for it is "7SK RNA (ENSMOCG00000006914.1)". It matches the Rfam family "7SK RNA". From Rfam's summary of the family: 7SK was discovered as an abundant small nuclear RNA in the mid-70s but a possible function has only recently been suggested. Two independent studies have found that 7SK RNA binds the CDK9/cyclin T complex (known as elongation factor P-TEFb). Lineage: Eukaryota; Metazoa; Chordata; Mammalia; Rodentia; Cricetidae. The record is from RNAcentral.
ACAUAAGGGUGAUCUGGUUGCAGCGUCUGCCUCUCCAUUGUAGUUGAUCUGGCUGACUGGGUGGCUGUUUCUUUCCUCCCUCGGUAUUUCAUGUGUAUGUCUGUCAAAGCUUGGUCCUUGGCCAAAGAUGGCUCUCCCUGUAGAGAGGACUGUUCUCCUGUCAAGGGUACAUGAGUAUCUCUGCUCUACUGCUAGAACCUCCAAACAAACUCUCAGGAAUGGUGCUGGAGCCAGAGAGAGGGCUCAGCAGGUCAAAGGCCCUCAAUGCCAAGCCUGAUGAC